Molecule: ribosomal RNA, 525 nt
Filed under: Lactobacillus helveticus
Lineage: Bacteria; Bacillati; Bacillota; Bacilli; Lactobacillales; Lactobacillaceae
Description: bacterial SSU rRNA
Rfam family: Bacterial small subunit ribosomal RNA
Source: RNAcentral
UUAAGUUUGAUCUUGGCUCAGGACGAAACGCUGGCGGGGGGCCUAAUACAUGCAAGUCGAGCGAGCAGAACCAGCAGAUUUACUUCGGUAAUGACGCUGGGGACGCGAGCGGCGGAUGGGUGAGUAACACGUGGGGAACCUGCCCCAUAGUCUGGGAUACCACUUGGAAACAGGUGCUAAUACCGGAUAAGAAAGCAGAUCGCAUGAUCAGCUUAUAAAAGGCGGCGUAAGCUGUCGCUAUGGGAUGGCCCCGCGGUGCAUUAGCUAGUUGGUAAGGUAACGGCUUACCAAGGCAAUGAUGCAUAGCCGAGUUGAGAGACUGAUCGGCCACAUUGGGACUGAGACACGGCCCAAACUCCUACGGGAGGCAGCAGUAGGGAAUCUUCCACAAUGGACGCAAGUCUGAUGGAGCAACGCCGCGUGAGUGAAGAAGGUUUUCGGAUCGUAAAGCUCUGUUGUUGGUGAAGAAGGAUAGAGGUAGUAACUGGCCCNUUUUUAUUUGGCGGUUAUCAAACAGAAAGAGGG